UACCAGCACCCCGAGUGGUUGGGACGAUUAUUGGGCCUAAAGCAUCCGUAGCCGGUCCUACAAGUCUUCCGUUAAAUCCACCUGCUUAACAGAUGGGCUGCGGAGGAUACUAUAGGGCUAGGAGGCGGGAGAGGCAAGCGGUACUCAGUGGGUAGGGGUAAAAUCCUCUGAUCCAUUGAAGACCACCAGUGGCGAAGGCGGCUUGCCAGAACGCGCUCGACGGUGAGGGAUGAAAGCUGGGGGAGCAAACCGG
This 253-nucleotide ribosomal RNA is filed under the name uncultured bacterium. RNAcentral describes it as "partial 16S ribosomal RNA". It matches the Rfam family "Archaeal small subunit ribosomal RNA", at positions 474 to 727 of the family's 1478-position model. The record is from RNAcentral.